RNAcentral lists this ribosomal RNA (886 nucleotides) under Arthrobacter pascens. Its description in RNAcentral is "bacterial SSU rRNA". It matches the Rfam family "Bacterial small subunit ribosomal RNA", at positions 56 to 955 of the family's 1533-position model. The record is from RNAcentral. Lineage: Bacteria; Bacillati; Actinomycetota; Actinomycetes; Micrococcales; Micrococcaceae.
UGCAAGUCGAACGAUGAUCCCAGCUUGCUGGGGGAUUAGUGGCGAACGGGUGAGUAACACGUGAGUAACCUGCCCUUAACUCUGGGAUAAGCCUGGGAAACUGGGUCUAAUACCGGAUAUGACUCCUCAUCGCAUGGUGGGGGGUGGAAAGCUUUUUGUGGUUUUGGAUGGACUCGCGGCCUAUCAGCUUGUUGGUGAGGUAAUGGCUCACCAAGGCGACGACGGGUAGCCGGCCUGAGAGGGUGACCGGCCACACUGGGACUGAGACACGGCCCAGACUCCUACGGGAGGCAGCAGUGGGGAAUAUUGCACAAUGGGCGAAAGCCUGAUGCAGCGACGCCGCGUGAGGGAUGACGGCCUUCGGGUUGUAAACCUCUUUCAGUAGGGAAGAAGCGAAAGUGACGGUACCUGCAGAAGAAGCGCCGGCUAACUACGUGCCAGCAGCCGCGGUAAUACGUAGGGCGCAAGCGUUAUCCGGAAUUAUUGGGCGUAAAGAGCUCGUAGGCGGUUUGUCGCGUCUGCCGUGAAAGUCCGGGGCUCAACUCCGGAUCUGCGGUGGGUACGGGCAGACUAGAGUGAUGUAGGGGAGACUGGAAUUCCUGGUGUAGCGGUGAAAUGCGCAGAUAUCAGGAGGAACACCGAUGGCGAAGGCAGGUCUCUGGGCAUUAACUGACGCUGAGGAGCGAAAGCAUGGGGAGCGAACAGGAUUAGAUACCCUGGUAGUCCAUGCCGUAAACGUUGGGCACUAGGUGUGGGGGACAUUCCACGUUUUCCGCGCCGUAGCUUACGCAUUAAGUGCCCCGCCUGGGGAGUACGGCCGCAAGGCUAAAACUCAAAGGAAUUGACGGGGGCCCGCCAAGCGGCGGAGCAGGCGGAUUAAUUCGAU